AACGAACGCUGGCGGCAGGCCUAACACAUGCAAGUCGAGCGAGGUAGCAAUACCUAGCGGCGGACGGGUUAGUAACGCGUGGGAACGUGCCCAAAGGUACGGAAUAGCCUCGGGAAACUGAGAGUAAUACCGUAUGUGCCCCUCGGGGGAAAGAUUUAUCGCCUUUGGAUCGGCCCGCGUUGGAUUAGGUAGUUGGUGGGGUAAUGGCCUACCAAGCCGACGAUCCAUAGCUGGUUUGAGAGGAUGAUCAGCAACACUGGGACUGAGACACGGCCCAGACUCCUACGGGAGGCAGCAGUGGGGAAUCUUAGACAAUGGGGGAAACCCUGAUCUAGCCAUGCCGCGUGGACGAUGAAGGCCUUAGGGUUGUAAAGUCCUUUCAGCUGGGAAGAUAAUGACGGUACCAGCAGAAGAAGCCCCGGCUAACUCCGUG
RNAcentral lists this ribosomal RNA (433 nucleotides) under uncultured bacterium. Its description in RNAcentral is "bacterial SSU rRNA". It matches the Rfam family "Bacterial small subunit ribosomal RNA", at positions 29 to 507 of the family's 1533-position model. The record is from RNAcentral.